CCCACACAUAAUGAUAAACACCUUUAUUAUUUCACAGACAAAAAUAACCAUUAACCAAUAAAAAAAUGAAAAACUAACUUGUUAUGAAACUCAAUUCUUGGGGUAUUAGGCAUGACCCAAAUAACAUUGGGCAUAACCUUUCUUAUCGCUUUUGUAUAUCUUGAGAUAGUGUCAAUGUCCCAAUUACAGUAAACAAUAAAUCUUGGCCCUCAAAAGAUAUGUUUUCAGCUUCCGUGAACUUUUUGUGAUCAUCUGUGUAUAAUAUGCGAUUCUUCUUGAUAAUUACCCCCAAAUAGAGAAGAAACGUAGAAAUACUUUGUUUUCAUUUCAUGCCAUAAUUAACGGUCAUGUGAUUGAAAUUGGAACGAAAAUGGAAGGAACUCUUUAAGUAGUCCGCAUCACUUCAACGAGAUCAAAUUGGUCCUUUUUUGUGCCAUUUCGGACCGUAGAACUGUUGACCGAUGCCCAGCCCAAAUCAAAAGUGUUCAAUGGCUAGCCGAUAUUUAUAUUCUUAAGUACUUUCUAGGGAACAGAACAGCUAAGGGGUAAAAAUGUCCAUGACUGUUUGAUUGAUAUGAUCAAAACAGCACAUGAAUGAUCUUAAAUCUUGACGUAAAUGACAAAAACCAAUUUCCAAGCAUAUGACACAAAAUGUAAAUGCAAACACCAUAAGAACUCCUCAAAUUACAAAAAGCCAACACCACAGCACCAACAAAUUAGGUUGAGAAGAUAUUGUUUGAGGCAUCACUUCUUCAGCACACUGCAAAUCAAAAAUACUUUGUUGGAUAAGCUUCCCAAAUCCCACUUACAAACUAAAAUAAAAAUAAUAAAUAGUAAAUAUGUCACCAAAAGUUUAAACCAAGCAGCAACGAAAUAUGAAGAUAUGUUAACAAGCAAUGCCAUUGAAACUUGAGGUUUGGUAAAUCGUGAAGGAUCUAGGCAAAGGGAAUUUGAUGAUGCAGCACUAAGAGUCCCCUUACAUCUGAACAAUAAAAAGUUCAAGGUUCUCUCAUUAGUUUUGAGUUCCCUUUUACUUAUAAAACUAAUGAACAAAGUCAGAUUCCAACAUCACGAAUCUGAGUGCCCAAAAAGAAAUCCCAACCUUCCUAUUCUUAUAUUUAAUGCUUUCCUAUUGUUCAACAUGCAAGGACCUACUACACUUUUAAAUAUUGAAAUUAGCCAGAAUCCAUCAAGCCAACUUCUCAAAAGCCAUUUCCAAAACUAGCAAUUAUAGUGAUACUAAGUUUGGUUCAUUCUAGAUUUAUCAUGAACUUUUAGCUUUGCGCCAAUUCCUUUGUCUAGACACCCAUGAUGAGACUACUGAACAAACACAGAAAGUUUGCUGAAACAUAAAUAGAAACUAGCACACUCAUUUUGCAUAUGAACAAUAGAGGUAUAUUUUAGCCAUUCAUGAGAAUAAUUGAAACUUACUUGUAUAAAUAGGCAGCAAUCCCCAGAAUUAUGCACAACAAAAUAAUAUCAAUGCAGAAGUUUCUGCUAGAUCUUAACUGUAAUAGAACAAAAAUACUUAUUAGAUCUGGCUGAAUGAAUGGAAAACUAAAUCUUGUAAAGUUUCACUCCAUCACCUGGUUAACAGUGUCUUUGAGUCUAACAUUGGUAUUUUUAAGGUCAGCUGUUGCUUUAUCCACCUUUGUGUCAAUUUCAUCCAUCAAAGGAACUUGCCUAUCCAACUCCUCAUUCAUGUCAUGGGCCAUGUUUUUCAGAGUAUCCAAACCUUCUGAAAUCAUAUCCAAACCUUGAUCCUGUGGGAAUGUGAGGAUAGACAGUUAGCAGAACCAUUGUACCAUACUUAAGAACUCGGACAACCAACACGCAAAAGAGCUUCCCAGUAGCAUGAAGCCUAAACAAAAUGCAACUGUACAUGAAACUUUCCUGCUUCAUUCUACGCAUUUCAUAAUCCUGCCUGAAUUGACUAGAUGUCUCACUUUCUUGAAAGUAUUCACUAUCAAAACGACCAUCUGAAUCAAAUUUGAUUUCAGCACGGGGUGCUGAAGCCCCCCAACCUCCAGUUUGUUUGGGAGCAGAUGCAGUUCCAUCAGGUAUCGCUUGAAUCCUAUCUGGUAAUGCAAGGACCAAAUCAUUACGGGCAGCAAGCUCUUCUGUUGAGAGCCCUUUAACCUUCUUUAUAGCCAAUCUCUGCAACUUAGGGACCUCCUCUAGCAAUUUUGCCUUCGUUCGACGAAUCUCCGCGUUCAGAGCAACUGCAGAUGCCUUCUUUUUGUCUUUCGAAGCAAGCUCCGCUUUCUGAAGGGCUGCUUCGAUAUCAGCCUCAACGACGGCGUAGAGGCGAGCAAAAGCAUCGUCGCCGAAGACAUUGAGAUCUUUUUGCUUUUCGACGCCGUAUCUGUCGUACUUCUUGCAGAUCGCAUCAACUCUAGUUAAAAUGUCGAUCACGCUCAUGUUGUAGCGGGUGGACUCAGUGAAUGGGUGUAAGAUUUAGCUAAUGAAGAGGGAAUUGGAGAGGAAAUACAAAGGAUUUGGCUCCAAUUUCUUGGAGGUGUAAAGCACGUAGCAUUUCAACCACCAAAGAACGACCAGCCAGCGGCCUGUAACUGCUAGCAACCAAUAACUUUCUUU
This 2598-nucleotide unclassified non-coding RNA is filed under the name Hevea brasiliensis (rubber tree). The record is from RNAcentral. Lineage: Eukaryota; Viridiplantae; Streptophyta; Magnoliopsida; Malpighiales; Euphorbiaceae.